GAGAGGCUGAGAGCAAUAAGGACUGCUAAUCCAUAUCACCAUGGUUAA
This 48-nucleotide transfer RNA is filed under the name Brochis britskii. RNAcentral describes it as "Corydoras britskii partial tRNA-Ser". The record is from RNAcentral. Lineage: Eukaryota; Metazoa; Chordata; Actinopteri; Siluriformes; Callichthyidae.